This 19-nucleotide non-coding RNA is filed under the name Arabidopsis thaliana (thale cress). The record is from RNAcentral. Lineage: Eukaryota; Viridiplantae; Streptophyta; Magnoliopsida; Brassicales; Brassicaceae.
GGAGGUGUUGGGUUCAAGG